RNAcentral lists this ribosomal RNA (763 nucleotides) under uncultured Streptococcus sp. Its description in RNAcentral is "bacterial SSU rRNA". It matches the Rfam family "Bacterial small subunit ribosomal RNA", at positions 28 to 776 of the family's 1533-position model. The record is from RNAcentral. Lineage: Bacteria; Bacillati; Bacillota; Bacilli; Lactobacillales; Streptococcaceae.
GACGAACGCUGGCGGCGUGCCUAAUACAUGCAAGUAGAACGCUGAAGGAGGAGCUUGCUCUUCUGGAUGAGUUGCGAACGGGUGAGUAACGCGUAGGUAACCUGCCUGGUAGCGGGGGAUAACUAUUGGAAACGAUAGCUAAUACCGCAUAACAGUAGAUAUUGCAUGAUAUCUGCUUGAAAGGUGCAAAUGCAUCACUACCAGAUGGACCUGCGUUGUAUUAGCUAGUUGGUGAGGUAACGGCUCACCAAGGCGACGAUACAUAGCCGACCUGAGAGGGUGAUCGGCCACACUGGGACUGAGACACGGCCCAGACUCCUACGGGAGGCAGCAGUAGGGAAUCUUCGGCAAUGGACGGAAGUCUGACCGAGCAACGCCGCGUGAGUGAAGAAGGUUUUCGGAUCGUAAAGCUCUGUUGUAAGAGAAGAACGAGUGUGAGAGUGGAAAGUUCACACUGUGACGGUAUCUUACCAGAAAGGGACGGCUAACUACGUGCCAGCAGCCGCGGUAAUACGUAGGUCCCGAGCGUUGUCCGGAUUUAUUGGGCGUAAAGCGAGCGCAGGCGGUUAGAUAAGUCUGAAGUUAAAGGCUGUGGCUUAACCAUAGUACGCUUUGGAAACUGUUUAACUUGAGUGCAAGAGGGGAGAGUGGAAUUCCAUGUGUAGCGGUGAAAUGCGUAGAUAUAUGGAGGAACACCGGUGGCGAAAGCGGCUCUCUGGCUUGUAACUGACGCUGAGGCUCGAAAGCGUGGGGAGCAAACAGG